Molecule: transfer RNA, 90 nt
Filed under: Paludibacteraceae bacterium
Lineage: Bacteria; Pseudomonadati; Bacteroidota; Bacteroidia; Bacteroidales; Paludibacteraceae
Also listed under: 1 other name
Description: tRNA-OTHER
Source: RNAcentral
GCGGCGGUAAGCUUUGUAAUUGCCUCUUUCAAGGCCUAAACGUAUGCUUACUCCUAAUGGUUACUGUUGGUUCGAAUCCAACCCGCCGCU